GACGAACGCUGGCGGCGUGCCUAAUACAUGCAAGUUGAGCGCUGAAGGUUGGUACUUGUACCAACUGGAUGAGCAGCGAACGGGUGAGUAACGCGUGGGGAAUCUGCCUUUGAGCGGGGGACAACAUUUGGAAACGAAUGCUAAUACCGCAUAAAAACUUUAAACACAAGUUUUAAGUUUGAAAGACGCAAUUGCAUCACUCAAAGAUGAUCCCGCGUUGUAUUAGCUAGUUGGUGAGGUAAAGGCUCACCAAGGCGAUGAUACAUAGCCGACCUGAGAGGGUGAUCGGCCACAUUGGGACUGAGACACGGCCCAAACUCCUACGGGAGGCAGCAGUAGGGAAUCUUCGGCAAUGGACGAAAGUCUGACCGAGCAACGCCGCGGGAGUGAAGAAGGGUUUCGGAUCGUAAAACUCUGUUGGUAGAGAAGAACGUUGGUGAGAGUGGAAAGCUCAUCAAGUGACGGUAACUACACAGAAAGGGACGGCUAACUACGUG
Molecule: ribosomal RNA, 497 nt
Filed under: uncultured bacterium
Lineage: Bacteria
Description: partial 16S ribosomal RNA
Rfam family: Bacterial small subunit ribosomal RNA
Source: RNAcentral